ACGUAGGAGGCGAGCGUUGUCCGGAAUCACUGGGCGUAAAGCGCGUGUAGGCGGAUGACUAAGUUUGCUGUGAAAGCGCCUGGCUUAACCGGGCGAGGUCGGCGAAAACUAGUCGUCUGGAGGCCGGUAGAGGGGGGUGGAAUUCCGGGUGUAGUGGUGAAAUGCGUAGAGAUCCGGAGGAACACCCGUGGCGCAGGCGGCCCCCUGGGCCGCGCCUGACGCUGAGACGCGAAAGCGCGGGGAGCGAACGGG
RNAcentral lists this ribosomal RNA (252 nucleotides) under uncultured bacterium. RNAcentral describes it as "partial 16S ribosomal RNA". It matches the Rfam family "Bacterial small subunit ribosomal RNA", at positions 525 to 776 of the family's 1533-position model. The record is from RNAcentral.